UAUACGGAUGCUCUUCAACUGCUUAUCGAAGUCUUUUUUUUGCCCCAGCCGAUAGGUCUCUAGACGUUACAGAGAACCCCGAACAAUCCAAACUGUUAAUCUUCAAUACCCCUUUGUACUUACGAUCUUGUAUCCACUGACUGUCCUGUUAGAUUAACCCAAUAAAUUUCAUUCACUCCGCAUACUCAAUCCUAUAGACACCCCUUUAAUCCUUCAAUCACAGACGUAACUCGAUUUUACAAAACAGUCAAGAGUAUUCAAACCCACUUCA
This 271-nucleotide long non-coding RNA is filed under the name Physcomitrium patens. Its description in RNAcentral is "long non-coding RNA (PPAT_LNC010967)". The record is from RNAcentral. Lineage: Eukaryota; Viridiplantae; Streptophyta; Bryopsida; Funariales; Funariaceae.